UUGAACUUCGAUCUUAAAAUUAAUUUUUAGAUUAAUUGCAUACAGCUCUCUAUAAAUAUAUCGAAUAGUAGAUAUAUUCGUACAAAGUUCAACAUUUUAUUUUUAUCCUGCAAAAGUUCUCGCAUUUUUAACCCUGCUGGUAAGAUCCAUAAGAAAAAUAUAGUUAAUUAUAGAUAAAAUACUUAAUCUUGGUUAGUGAAAGAGAUAAAUUAACCUUUUUACCUUUCUUAUAUUAUAAUAAUUCUAUUCACUUAUAAAUAAAAAAAUGACCAUUUGAGAUUUUUGGAAAGGCAUAUUUAUAUUAUUCUAACCGUUGAGAUUUUUGAAAGUAUAUAUUUGUGAUGGUAAAAAUAUCAUUUUGCUUAUCUGCUGUCAAAAAAUAAACAGUACUUUAACGGUAACAAAUUAGAUGAGCAAAUAUAAAUAUCACUGAGCUUUUGAAAAAAUAAAAAAAAAAUUAAAUUUUAUAAAAAUAUAUUUAUUAUUCAAUACGUUU
RNAcentral lists this long non-coding RNA (496 nucleotides) under Ananas comosus (pineapple). Its description in RNAcentral is "long non-coding RNA (ACOM_LNC021716)". Lineage: Eukaryota; Viridiplantae; Streptophyta; Magnoliopsida; Poales; Bromeliaceae. The record is from RNAcentral.